RNAcentral lists this ribosomal RNA (253 nucleotides) under uncultured bacterium. RNAcentral describes it as "partial 16S ribosomal RNA". It matches the Rfam family "Bacterial small subunit ribosomal RNA", at positions 524 to 776 of the family's 1533-position model. The record is from RNAcentral.
UACAGCGGGUGCGAGCGUUAAUCGGAAUUACUGGGCGUAAAGCGCGCGUAGGCGGCUUUUCAAGUCGAUUGUGAAAUCCCCGGGCUUAACCUGGGAACUGCAGUCGAGACUGUCUAGCUAGAGUAUGGGAGAGGGAAGUGGAAUUUCAGGUGUAGCGGUGAAAUGCGUAGAUAUCUGAAGGAACAUCAGUGGCGAAAGCGACUUCCUGGACCAAUACUGACGCUCAUGUGCGAAAGCGUGGGGAGCAAACAGG